UACAGAGGGUGCAAGCGUUAAUCGGAAUUACUGGGCGUAAAGCGUGCGCAGGCGGUUAUGUAAGACAGGGGUGAAAACCCCGGGCUUAACCUGGGAACUGCAUUUGUGACUGCAUAGCUAGAGUACGGUAGAGGGGGGUGGAAUGCCGCGUGUAGCAGUGAAAUGCGUAGAGAUGCGGCGGAACACCGAUGGCGAAGGCAGCCCCCUGGGCUGAGAUUGACGCUCAGGCACGAAAGCGUGGGGAGCAAACAGG
Molecule: ribosomal RNA, 253 nt
Filed under: uncultured bacterium
Lineage: Bacteria
Description: partial 16S ribosomal RNA
Rfam family: Bacterial small subunit ribosomal RNA
Source: RNAcentral